AUGGAGCCUGGCGGAGGGGAGGAGCGAUGGAGUAAGACGAAGAUCCCCGGCGAUAAAAAUUUCAAAUUGAGGGUAGUUUGGUACUUUAUCCUGUUUUCACCUGGUCGGAGAAGUUUCCCAACGACAACUAUUUCGGAACAGAGGGAGUAUAUCGGAGAGAGAUUUUAUUCUUCCCAUGCCACGUCUUGUGUUGACUAG
RNAcentral lists this ribosomal RNA (198 nucleotides) under Triticum aestivum (bread wheat). Its description in RNAcentral is "partial small subunit ribosomal RNA". Lineage: Eukaryota; Viridiplantae; Streptophyta; Magnoliopsida; Poales; Poaceae. The record is from RNAcentral.